AGGACUCGGCCGGGCCGCCGGAUGUGACGCAGGGGCCAGGGCGCGUCGGAGCCGCUGAGAAAGCGCAGAGAAGGCGGGCCCCGUCUGAGGUCUGGCAGUCAGAGACAGCCGGGCGCCCACGGCCCGAGCGCCCACGGCAGCACCAUGCCCGCACUCCUGGAGCGCCCCAAGCUUUCCAACGCCAUGGCCAGGGCGCUGCACCGGCACAUUAUGAUGGAGCGGGAGCGCAAGCGGCAGGAGGAAGAAGAGGUGGAUAAGAUGAUGGAACAGAAGAUGAAGGAAGAACAGGAGAGAAGAAAGAAAAAGGAGAUGGAAGAGAGAAUGUCACUAGAGGAGACCAAGGAACAAAUUCUGAAGUUGGAGGAGAAGCUUUUGGCCCUACAGGAAGAGAAGCACCAGCUUUUCCUGCAGCUCAAGAAAGUUUUACAUGAGGAAGAAAAACGGAGGCGAAAGGAACAGAGUGACCUGACCACCCUGACAUCAGCUGCAUACCAGCAGAGCCUGACUGUUCACACAGGAACUCAUCUCCUCAGCAUGCAGGGUGAGGACUAAAGAAACCACCUGAUGGAACCGGCCUUCUUGGAGGUCACAGCCUCCCAUUUCAGCAUCAUGAAGCCCUUCUCCCUUUCUAGGGAGCCCUGGAGGACACAAUCGCCCAGGCACCCUCAUGGCAGCUGACAGAGCCAAACAAAUGUUUGGACCCCAAGUGCUUACGGUGAGAGUAGGAUUGGAUGCCUAGCCCCUAGUACUUCCAUCCAUGCAUCCUUGCCACCAGUAUUCAAGUCACAAACAUAUCAAGCACUUAAGUUUAGGGGGAAACGGGGCAUACAGAUACACACAAGUCACUGGGUUUCAGCUUUCAAGGAGUUUGUAGGCGAGUUCUCAUUCUCCUUCCUUAGACCCGGCACUACGUGGGCUCAGCAGCUGCUUUUGCAGGGACACCAGAGCAUGGACAAUUCCAAGGCAGUCCUGGUGGUGCCUAUGGGACUGCUCAGCCCCCACCUCACUAUGGGCCCACACAGCCAGCUUAUAGUCCUAGUCAGCAGCUCAGAGCUCCUUCGGCGUUCCCUGCAGUGCAGUACCUAUCUCAGCCACAGCCACAGCCCUAUGCUGUGCAUGGCCACUUUCAGCCCACUCAGACAG
Molecule: small RNA, 1143 nt
Filed under: Pan troglodytes (chimpanzee)
Lineage: Eukaryota; Metazoa; Chordata; Mammalia; Primates; Hominidae
Description: retained intron
Source: RNAcentral